CCUACGGGGGGCAGCAGUGGGGAAUAUUGGACAAUGGGCGAAAGCCUGAUCCAGCCAUGCCGCGUGUGUGAAGAAGGCCUUCGGGUUGUAAAGCACUUUCAGUGGGGAAGAAAGCCUUGGGGCUAAUACCCUCGAGGAAGGACAUCACCCACAGAAGAAGCACCGGCUAACUCCGUGCCAGCAGCCGCGGUAAUACGGAGGGUGCGAGCGUUAAUCGGAAUUACUGGGCGUAAAGCGCGCGUAGGCGGUCUGAUAAGCCGGUUGUGAAAGCCCCGGGCUCAACCUGGGAACGGCAUCCGGAACUGUCAGGCUAGAGUGCAGGAGAGGGAGGUAGAAUUCCCGGUGUAGCGGUGAAAUGCGUAGAGAUCGGGAGGAAUACCAGUGGCGAAGGCGGCCUUCUGGACUGACACUGACGCUGAGGUGCGAAAGCGUGGGUAGCAAACAGGAUUAGAUACCCCUGUAGUC
This 465-nucleotide ribosomal RNA is filed under the name Vreelandella stevensii. RNAcentral's name for it is "partial 16S ribosomal RNA". It matches the Rfam family "Bacterial small subunit ribosomal RNA", at positions 338 to 795 of the family's 1533-position model. Lineage: Bacteria; Pseudomonadati; Pseudomonadota; Gammaproteobacteria; Oceanospirillales; Halomonadaceae. The record is from RNAcentral.